RNAcentral lists this ribosomal RNA (387 nucleotides) under Radiodomus abietum. RNAcentral describes it as "Radiodiscus abietum partial large subunit ribosomal RNA". The record is from RNAcentral. Lineage: Eukaryota; Metazoa; Mollusca; Gastropoda; Stylommatophora.
CAUAUCCGAAUGAAUAUUUUCGGUAAGCCCUGCUCAAUGAGUUUAAUAGCCGCAGUACCCUAACUGUGCUAAGGUAGCAUAAUAAUUUGGCUCUUGAAUGGAGUCUAGAAUGAAUGGGUUAUGUAGUAACUGUUUCAAAGAUAUUAAAAUAAUUUACUAAUAAGGUGAAAAUUCCUUUAUCUGAUAUAAGACGAGAAGACCCUUAUAAUUAUAUUUGUUUUUGUUGGGGCAACAAGAAAGCAACUAAUUCAUUUUCUUAAUUUACUUUCCGGUUAUAGUUAAGUUACCUUGGGGAUAACAGCGUGAUAAUUAGAUUACGACCUCGAUGUUGGACUAGGAUAAUGAGGCUAGUAGCCAUAAUAGUUCUGUUCGAACCCUACGUGAUCU